GACGUAGGGCGCGAGCGUUGUCCGGAUUUAUUGGGCGUAAAGAGCUCGUAGGCGGUUCGUCGCGUCGGCUGUGAAAACCUGAGGCUCAACCUCAGGCCUGCAGUCGAUACGGGCGGACUUGAGUACUGCAGGGGAGACUGGAAUUCCCGGUGUAGCGGUGAAAUGCGCAGAUAUCGGGAGGAACACCGGUGGCGAAGGCGGUUCUCUGGGCCUUACCUGACGCUGAGGAGCGAAAGCGUGGGGAGCGAACAGG
RNAcentral lists this ribosomal RNA (253 nucleotides) under uncultured bacterium. RNAcentral's name for it is "partial 16S ribosomal RNA". It matches the Rfam family "Bacterial small subunit ribosomal RNA", at positions 524 to 776 of the family's 1533-position model. The record is from RNAcentral.